UGCAUGCAAGUCGAACGAAGUCUUCGGACUUAGUGGCGCACGGGUGAGUGACAUGUGGGAAUCUACCUAAAGGUUCGGAAUAACUGCGGGAAACUGUAGCCAAUACCGGAUGUGUCUGCAAAGAGAAAGAUUUAUCGCCUUUAGAUGAGCCCGCACUAGAUUAGCUAGUUGGUGAGGUAACUGCUCCACCAAGGCUACGAUCUAUAGCUGAUUUGAGAGGAUGAUCAGCCACACUGGGACUGAGACACGGCCCAGACUCCUACGGGAGGCAGCAGUAGGGAAUAUUGGACAAUGGGGGAAACCCUGAUCCAGCAAUGCCGCGUGAGUGAAGAAGGCCCUCGGGUUGUAAAACUCUUUCAUCAAUGAUGAUAAUGACAUUAGUUGAAGAAGAAGCUCCGGCUAACUUCGUGCCAGCAGCCGCGGUAAUACGAAGGGGGCUAGCGUUGUUCGGAAUCACUGGGCGUAAAGCGUAUGUAGGCGGAUCAAAAAGUUAGAUGUGAAAUCCCUGGGCUCAACCCAGGAACUGCAUUUAAAACUAGUGAUCUAGAAUUUGGUAAGGGUUAGUAGAAUUUCCAGUGUAGAGGUGAAAUUCGUAGAUAUUGGAAAGAAUACCAGAAGCGAAGGCGACUAACUAGGCCAUUUUUGA
Molecule: ribosomal RNA, 646 nt
Filed under: uncultured marine bacterium
Lineage: Bacteria
Description: bacterial SSU rRNA
Rfam family: Bacterial small subunit ribosomal RNA
Source: RNAcentral